AGAAAAAAAAGAAAAUAAUAGUAAUGGAUAAUCACAACAUGCAUAAAUCUCAAAAAUAAUUAUAUUAAGUAAAACAAACCAGUCAAAAAAGACCAUAUACUCUUUAUUCCAUUUUAAUAAAACUAUAGAAAAUGAAAAUCUUUGGUGAUAUAAAACAAACUAGUAGUGAGGAAGAGAGGCUUGGGAGGGAAAUUAUAAAUUACAUGAAGCAACUUUUGGGAGUGAUAGAAAUAUUUACUAUAUUGAUUGUUAUGAUGGUUUCAUGGAUAUAUACAUAUGCAAAAACAUAUCUACACUUCAAAUAUGUGGAAUUUUUGUAGGUUAUUUAUACAGCAAUAAGCCUGCUCAAAAAAGUAAAUCGAGCAAUGGAGGGUACCAAGAUUUUACUUGCAUAUGACUGUUCUCUAUCUAGCCUGCAAACAGGUGCACACAAAAUCUGCAACUUUAACUGGAGCUUGCCAGGCAACACCUCUGCAACAUUAUGCAAAUCACUGUGAGAAAGAGACAAUAAUUAUGUCAAAAACCACCAAAAUAUGUUUGUUUCCACACACUUUUUUUAAAAUUCCCAGAUCUGGGCUGUCUACAGUAUGUGCCUGCCAGUUAACCUAACUUGGGGCUUUUCACUUUGGUUUAAAGAAUCUGAAAUUGAGCUCUGCUCAAGUUAAGUGCAUGUGGUGAUUCAUGUGCAUGGAAAGUACCUUGGGCUGACCACAAACUAGAGUUCCCUACAACUACAUCAAUGUCAAAACUAACCACUGUCUCCUAGCUUGUUUGUUUAAAAAAAAAAAUCCCAUGGUCUUCAAUUUGGUCAUUUAAAAAUAAUCUACAAGGUAUACUGUUUUUCUGUUCUUGUUAUUUCCUAACUUUUAAGGUUUCUAUUUUUCCACCCUGUAGAUCUUGUUCUCACUAGAGAAUAAUUUCUACAUUAUGCCCAGGUUCUUCUGAGCUAUGAAGGGGCCCAGAUUUAAGGGCUAUUUUUGACACCCUAAAUGUGCUGAGACAAGUCAUUAAGGUGGUCCUGCCAGGACACAGCCAUCUAAAGCAGCAAUCUGCUUCUUGCCAGAAAAUCUCGUGCCUCUGCAGAGCCUUUUCCAGAAUGAACCACACCAUGCUGAGGAAAGGAGAAAGAGACUACCUACUGCAUUUCUGUCACUCGCUGAAAAGGACACUCUGUCAGAAAAUCUUCUAGCAAACUUCAAAGGGCAAAAUCACCCCUUGUUACUGAUAAAGCCCAGAGAGCUUCAGCAGCUAACAUUCCCUGGACAGGGCACAGCAAGGAUUUGAACCUAGGUCAGUCUGGCCAGAACACCCACAAGCUUUCCUUAACUCAGUGUGCUAUCUCCCCACGACUAGGUCACUACUGCUUUAUAAUCACCUUUGUAGCCACCAGUGGAUUUUGCUCAUCAGUAUUUUUCAGGCAAUUGAUACUUUAGAUAUUCAGCUGCAAGACGUAUGCAGUUUUCAUUGACAUCUUUUGGAGAAACUGACAAACCUGGACUUGACUUAAUGCCUUUGGAACCUUCCAAGAUGUUAUAUAACUCUAGAUAGAAGGCUGGGCCUCCAUGAUGUCAGGAAUGUUGCAUUCUUAUUUCCCCAUAGAUAAACCCAUUUGUCCACAAAGUCAAGGAGUCAGGCAGAGGCCCUUGCCAUGGGGCUUUUUAGGAUAAAGCAACAAGCCUGGACUUUGCUCUACAACAGGGUUUUGCAUAGGGAGUGGUAUGACCAGAUCCCUCAAGAAAGAAAGCUUAGAGACCAGGCCAGAGUCCACUGCAGUAGCCCAGUCAAGAGAGGAUGGUGACUUGGACUUGUAGUAGAGCCAGUUAGAAUGAAAGAAAUUGACACAUUCAGAAAUGGUUUUAGAGAUAGAGUCAAACUGGACCUGAUAAAGAACUAGAGAAGCGGAGUGAGGAUAAAGAGAAGAGCCAUGACUGACUCGGAAGAUUUUGUCUUGAAAAACUUGAGAACUCAAGACAGAGUGAAAUAAAAUCACAUGUGGGAAAAAUCUCCUGCUUUGUUUUGGACUACUUUGAAGUGAAAUGCCUGUUAAGCCUAAGUGGGGUAGGUCAUGGCGUACAUGACUGUGGGCUCAGGAUGGAUACAGGCAUUCAGGAGUUGUGAGCAAAUAGAACUUAAAGCCAUGAGAGAAGAAGGGAUCACCAAGAGAGACAGUGUGGCAUAGAGAAGAAAAGGGGUGGAAGACGAUCCCUGGGCAGAAAAGUCCUUAGAGCAGAGGCAACAGGCAUGACCAAGAAGACUAAGAAAGAACAUUCAGUACAGCAGGAGGAGAGCAAAAAAUGUGUGGUAUUCUAGAAGCAAAGAGAAUAAAGGGCUUCAGGAAGGAGCAGUCAAGUGUGUCAAAUAAGAUAAAGACAGACAAGUCCCCUGGAUUGGGUAGGAAUAAAAUAACAACAGACUGCCAUACAAAUGGUUCUAUCUACACCAUCUAAAAGAAUAUAGUUUAUUCUCCAUACAUUUAAGAAACACCUGCCAUAUGCCAGGUAUCCUUUCAAGCACUGAAAUGCAGAUUCAUAAAACAUGGUCUCUGCUCUCAAGGAGCUCACAGUGGUAAGGAGGAAACAGGCAAUAGCGAGUGUUCUCAUUGCAUUCGUGACCCCAUUGAUCUUGCAACAGCCCCAUGCAUCAGUUAUUGCCAUUAUACCAUUUUACCGAUAAGGAAACUGUGGCAGGGAGGGGUCAAGCACCUUGGGUAUUUGACAGCAAAACCAAGGCUUGGUGGUAUCAUAAAACUUCCAAGUAGUAAUUCACAAAGGUGACUGGGAAAUGGAAGUGACCAGAAAUCUUUGCACUAUGAGGACAAGUUCAUGACCCUGAUACAUUCUUGUCCAGGUAGUAUAGCUCCAGACCAAAUGUCUGCGGCCACCCACCCAAAAACUUGUUGGAUAAAAAUGACUACACCUAUAGUCAAAUGAUUUUUGACAAAGGUGCCAAACAGUUAGAUAGGAAAAAGAAAGUUAUUUUCAAUAAAUGUUGCUGGAGCAACCAGAUAUCCAUAUGGAAAAAAAAUCUUGACCACCUACCUCACACCAAACACUAAUAUUAACUUGAGAUGGAUCAUAAACCUAAGUCUGAAAACUAAUAGUAAAGUUCUUGAGAAGAGAACAUGGGAGAAUGUCUUCAUGAUGUUCAGGUAGGCAAAGAUAUUUUAAGACACAAAAAAGCAAUAAGCAUAAAAUUUGUAAAGAGGUGACUGGGGCUUUAUCAAAAUUAAAAUUUAUGUGUAUUAAAAGACAUCAUGAAUAAAGGGAAAAGGGCAGCCACAGACUGGGAGAAACUCUUUACUAUACAUAUACCUAACUGAGGCUCAUAUCCAGAUUAUAUGAAGAACUCCUUCAUACUGAUACCUAGGGUCUUGAUUGCAUGCCCCGAAAUCAGUUGAUUCUUCCCUUUUGAAAUGCAUUCCCACAAGGAUCCAGCCUUUGGGAAGCCAUGCAAGUAGAGGCAGAAGUUGUUUCAGCUUCGGAAAGGGCCACUCUGCUGAGGAGUGUCCUUGACCGGCAGAGAGAAGAUGUUCCUGCAGCCAUGCUGAUUCCAGGGGGAUAUAGAAUUUGGGGCCUGGGAAUGUUUAAAAAUGAAAGCCAGUUAAUAGUUUUAUUUUUCUUUUAACAUGACAGACAGGAGAACAACCAGCAGGACUCCAGGCUUACCCUGACAUUUUUGUCAAGUAUAUGCGGGUUCUCCAGAGAGCCAGAAUCAAAAGAUGUGUGUAUAUACAGCCAUGUGUUGCAUAACAACAAAGAUACAUUCUGUGAAAUGUGUCCUUAGGCAAUUUCAUCGUUGUGCAAACAUCAUAGGGUGUAUUUGCACACACCUAGAUGGCAUAGCCUACCACACACCUGGACUAUGUGGUAUAGCUUGUCACUCCUAGGCUUUGUACAGCAUGCUACUAUACUGAAUACUGUAGGCAAUUAUAACACAAUGGUAGGUAUAUAUGUCUAUGUAGACAUAUCUAACAUAGAAAAGGUACAGUAACAAUACAGUAUAAAAAGUGAAAAUUGCACACUUAUAUAGGGCACUUCCAAUCAAUGGAGCUUGUAGAACUGGAAGUUGCUCUGGGCGAGUCCGUGAGCAACUAAGACAUUACACUGUGCG
This 4110-nucleotide long non-coding RNA is filed under the name Homo sapiens (human). RNAcentral describes it as "PREDICTED lncRNA (TCONS_00160884)". Lineage: Eukaryota; Metazoa; Chordata; Mammalia; Primates; Hominidae. The record is from RNAcentral.